Molecule: long non-coding RNA, 15503 nt
Filed under: Gallus gallus (chicken)
Lineage: Eukaryota; Metazoa; Chordata; Aves; Galliformes; Phasianidae
Description: lncRNA (ENSGALG00010022043.1)
Source: RNAcentral
GGAUAGGGCUGCAAAGCAACAGGCAUAAAUCACGCAGCUCUUCCCUCCCUGAGCUCCCUUGCAGCCAGCACAUGCACAACACCUCCCUUCUGGAUGAGGCUUUGGCAUGAGAGGCAGAUCCCAUGAAUGCUCCAUCGCGUUACCACAGCAGAGCAGCGCUUGGCAAGCUGAUGCAGGAUACUCCCUCAAGAAAACUUUGAAGGAACAGUGCUGCACGGCUGAACUAGGCAAUUACAAAUAUACCAGACACAGGGCUGAGACCCACCUCACUUCUGUUCUGCUGGAGUUCAUAGAAUCACCAAGGUUGGGAAAGGCCCACAGGAUCACCCAGUCCAACCAUCACCAACAGUUCUCAAGAGUUGCAGCACAGUGAAUCACUCCAACCUUCCCUCAAGGAGGGACAGCACAAUAGGAUCAGCCUCUUCUGCACUGCUCUGAAAUCACAAUUCAGAAAAUGGACAAAGUGGAUAAUAAAUUACUCUUCUUAUGCCAGGUAUUUUCCAUUUUGUGUUUUAACCGUUGUUGGUUCUUGGCACUGUUAAACUGUUAAUGGUAAAUUCAAAAGGAAUUGAGGACCUGGCUUCCUGGAUCGUAGUUUUUGGCUUUCCUGCACAAUAGGAUGAAGCCUGAAAGUCCCUUUUGUUACAUGCAGGUACCCAACUCUACUUCGUUACCAAUUAUCCUUCCUCAGUCUCUCCAUCCCUGUAUUACAUAAGGGUUCAGGUGAGACUCCUAAGAUAUCUGACUGCUUUAGCAUGUUUGGUUUUAUGUCUUUGUUACUUUAUAUCUCUCUUUGGCAGUUACAUCUACCUACAUAAUUGCUCUCAUUAAAAGGCUUAGUCAUGGUCUGAAGUAAGUGUAACCCACUGUUAUCUGUGCACUUAAGCAAAUUUCAGCACAGAAAAUUGGGGUAUCAUCUAAAUAUCAGACUACAGGAAGAUAAAACAAUCUAUACUGAAAAUCCAGAAUAAAAAGAAAUAACAGGCUUUGAAGCAGGCCUACCACCGAUUUCAGCUAUCCCCAAAACUGUACCAGGAAGGUUUUAAAUGGGUUUAAACCUCAGAUUUUUCACCUUUGGAAUUCCAGCCCUGUGACUGGUACGUGUGAGCUGAAAGGAGCACAGUCUGCACAGCGCAGUGCUGCAGGAGUGGCAGUUCUCUGAAACUGGAACCAGUCUUGGAAUUACAGUGGUGCUUCUUUUUCCAGGGAAAGGAAGGGAGUGGAAAUGGAAAAACAUCAGUGAGAAAAACCAAACAGGGCCCAAAAUUCAGAGCUGAGGAAGUCUGCAAUGGAGAAUCUAGUUGAGACAGCUGUGCUGAGGCUGACCUAACCUGGGGCUGACCAAGCAAGUUCCAUGAUGUCAUAUUUUGCUAUGAUGGGCCAUUAAAUUAAGUCGCUGGUCCAGACCUUCCUCCUGACACCUAUUAAAUCUACAGCUUUGGAGCUGGAGUUGUCAAGGUAGCACUGCAUCAGAUACCAGGGGAAUCCACGCACACUGUUACAGAAGAUUGCUGCUUGCAUAAAACCUCUUUGCUCUUUUCUUGAUUGUAUAUUCAGGAUAUAUUUUGCAGGCAUAGUCUACGAUUAGAUUAAACAAGCAAAGGAAUUAUUUAUUGCCUGUCCCACUGCACCUACUGCUUAACACCAGAUGAAACUAAAACAAUGGCUUCUGAGCUUGGGUCAAUAGUCUUCCUCUAUAGUCUACCCUCAAUUUCAAAAGCAUAGAGAAAAAAUGGUUAAUUCUACGGUGCCUGCGUUACAAAAAGGAGGAUUCAUUCAUAUUUACAGCAGCCACAAGAACUUCCAAAUAUAUAUUUUUCCAACCUGAAGGGUUUCAGUGACUUGUUCUACAUUUCCAUAGUAGACAAUAGAUCUCACAUAGCACUGUGAUCCAAUCUGCUUUUCUUUGCAGCAGGUAAUUGUAGGACGUUUUUAGGGAUACCUGUAACCUCACAACAUUGCCCUGCCUACUUCAAAAGAAGCUGUCAUCAAAAAGUAUUACCAGUCAAAAGAGUCAGUGAUACAAUUAUCUUUUUAAACAAACCCAGAAUAGUGGAUCAAACGCACACUACUUUUGAUUAUCCUCAGUCAAGUUUUCUUUAGGGGAUUCUCUGAGCAUCUCCUUCCCCUCAUUCGAAUUAUCAAACUCUCAUUUCUAGACCUCAGAGAACACCUACACGCUCCCUUCUGCUUCCUUCUUCCCACAACCUGAAGUUAAAUGUGGAGCACUUCCUCUGCCACCACUCUUGAAGCCUCAGUGGCCCACCCAACAAUGCCACUCUGUGGCUGGACAGGUAGAGAGAUGUUCUUGCAAUACUCAUUCCUCUUGACAAAUAUCAAUUAUUGUGACCAGGUCUUUUAACAAAAUAAAUACUGACUAGCAGCUAAGAGACUGGCUACUGGCUGCUUCUCACCUCCACCAGGAGCCCUGAAGUGCAGGACAGAAUCCAGGAAAGAUUUUCUGGAAAAUGAAGAGACCCAAUAAAGCCUCUAAGCCCAGGCAAGUCAAUAAACUGUCACAGUUGCCCGGAAGGAAUUGGCUCGUCUUAGAUAAACUCACAAAGGCCCUGAAAAAACACAACUUUUUUUUUUUAAAUGGCAGAGAUUAAUUUUCUGACUUCAAAGUAGUAUUAAUGCAGAACUUGGCUAAGGUUUCCUGUGCAAGCAGUUUCCCCCCGAGCAAUGAUUUCAGAAUCCGCCUUGUUUUAAGGCUGGCAUUUGCUGCAGCUGCAGACCUGGAGUAUUUUCGAUCCCCUCUGAGUGCUGGAACACUAUCCAACAAUUAAACCACAACCCAAAAACAAUCAAACAUCUGUUUGGAGGAAGGCUGCUCAGUGACUGACAUUCUCAUGCCAGCAUAAACACGAAAGCUGCUGAGUGAUUCCUGUCUUUUGUGUAUAUAUGUAUACGUAUGCACCGCUUGUGUAUUUUUUGUUCCUGCAUGCAGAAUAUGUAAAUAUGCUUAAGAGCAUUUUUAUUGCAAUAUGUGGGUGUACUUGUAUAGCUUAUUUGUGGAAGUAUUUUCAUUGGCGUGAACACACAGAUUUGAAUGUCAGCUUGAGAUGUGGUUAUUUGUGUGCUGGAGGUGGUUUUGCAGGAGGCCAAAGCGAACGUGGAUUGGGAGUCUGCAAGCAGGUAUGUGUUUAUGCAGUGCUGCAUGUGUUGGUGUACGUUCAUUUACAGGUAUCAGCUUGAUUUCAUAUGGGCAAAAAUAGCAUUACGGCUGCAUGUAGUUUUGUGGAGAGGCAAGGAUUCUGAAGUGUUUGCAUGUGUGUGUGCACGUGGAACUGACUGCAGCAAGGUGUCUGUGCUUUCUGAUGGACAACUGUCCUAUGCCUGACCUCCACACUCUGCCUUUGAACUAAUCAGAUACUUGGGCUAUAGCAGCCGAUGUCCCUUAUUUUAAGCACCAAAAAGGGACAGACUGCUGGAAGCAGUUCAGAAUUGCGUUCAAAACAGCAGUGAGGUCUGGUCCUGAUGAAAUCCCAGCCUCCUAAAAGUACUGAUUUCAAGAACUCCCAUGGGAACACAACAGGGUAUUGAAGGAUGACUUGUUUCAAGGGCUUUGGAAACAGGAAUGAAUGCUGACAUUAGUUCUCUCUGUCUAGAGAGCAAAUUGCUCUCCUUCCUAAAAGCACUUUUCAGACUCCAUGCAGGUAACUCUUUUUGUCCUAUUUUAUUUAUAGAUUUCAAAUAAUGACGGCCUGGGUAAAGCAGUAUGCAAAUGACAUUCAUUCCCAACAGGAACUCCCUCUGUGUAAAACCAAGACCAGCUUUCAGAAAAUACAACUGUUCCCAAUCCAAGCCAAAUGACAGCUUGUGCUGCUCCCACCGGUUAUCCCCGAACCCCCAAGGUCCACAGACUGCUGCUUGCCAUUUGUGGUGUCUUUAUAUACCUAGAAAUAUGUGAGUCACCACAGCAGGUGCUAGCCAUAACCUGCUUGCCUGAAAACAUCAGUAUCAGAAGUGACAGAAUCUGGGCCACCCACUGGCUGUAUUUCUGGAGCAUCCCUCUGUCUAGGAGGGAGCAGCUGGAGAUCUUUGCUUUAGAGCAUUUAUCAAAUAUCCUGUUGCUGGAGUAUAAGAACACGCCAUCACAGGAAAGACAGACUUGAUGAUCUUCCCACUGUGAGCCCCACAGCUUAACUUAUUGUUGUAGGCUCCUAAUCUUUUGCACCAGCCCUAUUUUUCUUUUCAGCAGUUUAAGCUGAAAAAGUUUACUAGAUAAUAGAUUUGCCUCAGAAAUCACAGGAGGUUCUAUUCCUUAGCAGUUAAGCCAGAGUAAGGCAUGGAGUGCAGUAGAGGAGCACAGAGAAAUGGUAUUCUCCUGCCAUGCCCCCUGCCCAGGUACGCUUCCAUUUGAACUCUUGCAAACACCAGACUACAGCAUUGGUUAGGAUGCUUUAGCAGAUCUGGCGCUGAUGACACGAGACACAGGCAGGCUGAGCCCUUCCCCCUGCCCUCAUGCUGGCCAUUUCAGUGCUAUUCCAGGACGAGCUCCUGGAACUCAGCAAUGCAAAGAUGACAUAAGUGCAAUGUUCAGAGGUUAAAGCUUCCAUCCAUUUCUGAUACUCCUCACAAUACUCAUUUCUUACUUCAUCACAAAUUUUUGUCCUCUUUUUGCACACAGAAGCCAUACAUCCUGACUACAAGAAUCAGCACAAAGAAAACGUGAUGGAUGAUGCUCAUGUGUUUAUACUACACAGCUAUUCUGCUGCAUGGCUUCUCAGAAGCCAUGUCAGUAGCUUGCAUGGUCUGUGUGCUACUGAGUGACCAGAUAAUGACUCUUAACCCUACGUAACAUAUAUAGGAAAUACUUUUAAUAGUGGUUUAGUAAUGAUUGGGUUAGAAGGUGGUCCACUGGAAACGGCAGGCAGUGAGAAAUUUUUCUGAGAGGUUAAGAAGUCAUAGGAUCCACUUAACGCAUAUCAGUUACAUCCCUGACUUCCUAAAGCAUAGCCUAGGAAUAGCUAAGCUCCUCUUUUAACGCUGUAUGUGUGGCAGAACUGGUUCUACAAAAAGUGUAGGAUAAAGAAUGAACUACUGCUGAGUUUAUUCAGGGCCUAUUCAAUUUACACAUGUUGGCAUGCUGUCUUGUAUUUGUUGUUGUGGUUUAUGCAUUUUUCAUUAAAGGAGGAUCCUAGGUGCCAAAAUGUUAACCAUCACUGCUGCUAAUAUUAUUUAGAUUUGCCCUGGGUUCAUAUUAGAAAACAUGCAGAAAAUUUACAAGUACAGAAAGUCUUCUCAUUCAUGGAUUUCUUCCAGCUCUGCUCAUCCCUUUUGUGCUUUCCAAUCCUGUACUAAUUUAUAAGCACUGAUGGAAAUCAAAUCCUUCCUGGUUCCUGCUCCUUCAGUACCACUAACUAUGGCCCUGUUAAUCCGUCCUCCAAUGCUUGUAGCAUAUGAAUAUCUCGGAAUCACUGCUGCUUUGCAGGCUUCUAUGCUAAAUUAAAACACAGCAAAUACGACAUGCGGUCUCUCCGAUUCCAUACAAAGACCCUACAGUAACUCAGGAACAGCCACCACCUGACUCCAGUACUUCAGCUGCCAUGUCAUCAUUAACCUGAACCCGUUUUUAUCCACAGAUUCAAUUGAAACCAGCUACUCAUCAUGAUUUAUGAGAGUCUUUGGGACAGGAGCUGAUCACAUGUAAGCAAGUCUUCAUCUCUAAGAAGCACUCUGAGUUUCUAUUCUGACAAUCUUUGAAUUCUCUUCUUAGGAGUUGGAAAACAUCACUUAGUAGAACUGGGAGGAGGUGUUACAUUCUUAAGCCACAUGUUACACAAGAUAUGUCUGCAAGCAAACCGACAACAGAAGGACUGCUCUUUAUUGUACAAUGCCAUGUUCACUCCUGGCUUUUUCCAACACAGGACCCCUCUACAGGGCAUAACGCAAUGAUUAUGACAAAGGCACUUAAUCAACAUUAGCAGCUGCUCAAUUUCUAACUCUUGUUUUCCCACAAACUCCAUCUCCAGGAAAAUACAGAGUGCAACUCAAGGAAGCUCUCAGCUGUCCUCCACUUCGUGCAUUUCCAAAGCAGAUGUAAAACAACUUCUGGUCUCUCUUAUGUUCCUAUCUUGUUGAUCUGUGAUUUAUGACUGUAAGACCUUGGAACUUUGAACUGUUCAAUUCAAAUGCAUUCUUUUUUCGUUGUAGGAGUUUUAAGUAAUAUCUGAAGCUCUUAAUUUGUGGAUUAGCACAUUUACCUACACCACAAUUAGUCCAACUCUGAGAAAGCCCAAGACUAACUUUUGGUUCAUUACUCUGUCAAUCAAUAAGCAUCACAUGUGCUACCAGCCAUUCACCUAUAGGAAUGCUCCAGUUUGUUUCUACAUUCCCAGUCACCACUGAUUCAUCUGUCCAAGUCAUAUAACUGUUUUCUUUCUUGGUCAGUAAACUAGAUCAAAGCCUUGAUAUUUUUUAAGAAAAAUCUUGUAUUAAAGAGCAUGUGAGACCCUGAGAAGGUGGAGGCAAACACAUUUGCCACACCAGCGCUCAUCUCAGCUGACAACAGCAGCUUCCUGUGCUCUGUCCUGGGGGGAUAAGGGGCUGUUAAAUCCUCACAUCUGCCACCCCAGUGCACAGCUGUGAGUGGCUCAGGGAGAACCAUCCCUGCUUGCCCAGCUGCCCCCUUCUACUCACUGUCACUCAGCAAGUAACUAUUUCACAGGCCUCACAGAAAACAAUGGGAGCUUUCAGGAAUGAAAUAAAAUCUUUACUCUGAUAGGAAGGCAGCUGUGAGACACAUGAAAGCUUCUGCUUGCUGUCUCUUACUUGUCUCACAAGGUUCAGAUCGAAGGAGUCACAGCAAACCAUCUACAGUGAAACCCUUCACAAAGGUCAGUGCUGGAAAGAGUCUGAACAUGUGGUACCCUGCAGAAAGAUGUGUGGAUAGACAGAUAAACAGCUCACUGACAAGGUAGAUGGAUGCAGAAUGAGGAGGAGCAUACAUGGAAACAGAAUAUAAAAGGAAAAAAGUGAUCAAGAAAGCAAAUUGAUUUUCACUGUUUGUUUUGACAUCCCCAAAGAGGACCCCGUGAUCCUGAGGAAAUCCUGAGGAAUCAUUGCUCUCACUGCUGAUAUUCAGCCACCUUUGGGGCAGAAGGCUGCAGCCUUUAACAGCACUCACUUAUCCUAUAAACCAGUUUAUCACAAACUCACCUCAUAUUAAGGUGCUUUAUAACCCUGGGGGAAAAGUAUCACCUGUUAAAGAGCAAUUACCUCUGCAUUUCCCUUUAGGGCUAUUUUCUCAUCUAAGAACUGAUGAGGUCCAACGCUACUUCAGCUUGCUAAUUAUUCUAACUUCAGGACGUUAGUGCUGCUGAUUAGGAAGUGCGCUGCACCCAGAACAUAGAUGAAUUUAUUUCCUACGGGUAUGCAAUGCUGCACACUUGCAGUGUACUCAUACAGCACUGAGAAGUUAGGAAAAUUAACCCAUGUGGUAAUGUGCCCAGAUGCCUUCCAAUAGCUAGGAGGUCAUAUUUAAACGUUUAUUCCACCCGAUGACAAAUCUGAAUUCACAUCCUUAUACUGUCCUUCUGUCUCCUACCACCUCACUUCCCAGCUCCUGUACUCUCCCUGAGGCACUUCUCUAUCUUUUCCCCUCCUUCCUCUCUUGCUCACACUGGACUAUAAAUAAGUCUGCUUAACACAAACAUGCUUGCUCUGAGUAGUUACUUAUAUGAAAAAUAAUACAUGUUUGUAAGCUUCUUUGUCUUUCCCUUCUUCUACAUUUCAGUUUUGAUUUUCUCUUAUGUUUUGAACAGAUUCCUAUUUUCUACGCUUGAAUAACACUCCUGAAAAUGCUUCUUGUUGGUGUAAAUUUGACCUGUGCUGGUACAGCACGAAUCCUUGCAUUUCCCCUGGUGUUACAUUGCAGGUAGGGAAUAAGGUUUUACUGCUGAUAAUACAGAGGAGUUCUUUAUCUUACAAGGUAAGGAUUCAGGCUUUCAGCUCGGAAGCUCAAGAGCUCAAUGCCAUUGAUGACCCAGGGGAGGAGCUGUGAUACAGGAUCCCAUCACUGAUUUCCACGCUGCCAUCUCAUCAUCAAGUAGUCGAAACCCUUAACCCAUGUGAGCACUUCACCAUGCUAGAGAACUCAGCUCCUCACAGAACAGAAAACAAUGACCACUUGUUAAGCAUUUGUUUGAAAGAGGAAGAAAAAGAGUAUUACAAUGAGUGAUUUCAAUCUCUGUGCUGUCAGCUGAAGGUUCCAUGCUGCCAGAAACAAACAAAUGUAUUCCCUGUUUACAAAUGAUACCAAACAUUUUUAACCUCAAAGACUUUUGUAUCUUAUGUUGGGGAUUUUUUGGCGAGUGAAAAGAAAUAACUUUAGUAUUUAAAAAGUAGCGGUAUUUGAGAAUUUCAUUUGAUUACGUUUGUUUGAUAAUACACAACUGCUCUAAAACUGACAACUUCGCUAUGAUAAAAACAAAACAGCUUGGAGGAAAUAAAACGCCAAUAAUAUUUGCAAACUACAUAAAAGCACUUAGUGGGAAAAAUGCUAUUUCACUAACAGUAAGGAAUGACAGGUUAGUUAAAAAUAGAUAAAAGCUCAUAAAACAAAAGGGAACAAAAGUCAUAUAUAUCUAUUAAUUACUAGGUAGCUAGCCUGACUGUGCUGCUGCUAGCAAAAGUGCAGCUGCAUCAUUACUGGAAAAAUGGGACAGGCUAUGUACACAAAUAGGGCUGGAGUUCAAGCAUGCCUGCCCAAAUCCUCUCUGCUACUCCAUUUAGUGCAUUCUUUCUUAUCAUUCAAAGGGCUGCAUUGAAAUGUGCUGAGCUUCACUGUGCUCUGGAUCAGGGUUAAUGCACGUCUGAAUCCUCUGAGCUGGAGAGCUACUACUUAAAGCCAGUUUUGAGCAUUAGCAGAUUAUUUAAAAAUACCUUUGGAUGAAGAUGUAACAGCUCAGAUGGUGUGCAAUAAAAAACAAUGUACAUCUAGAAAGCUGCUGAGAGCUCAAUGGUUGAACUCAUAGAACGUUUCCUUCACUUGGACUCCAUCAGCAAGCAAGCUCCUACCAGUUCAUCUCUUGCCUUCAUUUACAAAUGCAGAGGAUUUAGCUCUCAGUCUCACUUUGGAGUCUCCAUUAGGACAUCUCCCCAAGUUAUGCUUAAAUCUGGUUCUCAUUUGUUCUUCUCCUGAAAUUAUUCAGGCUACUGUCACUACAUGAUUUGUCUUCAUGACUUCCAAAGGAUGAGUGCUGAGAUGGGAUUUGGACAGAAGGAUAAUACUGAGAGGUGAAACCAGGAAGACCUACACAUUUCUCAAAGGGCCACAAUCAGAAUUCCUUAUUUCCAGAAACUGGCUUUACAUUAUUUCUUAACAGGAGAUAAAGCAAAUUCUCUUAGAAGACCAAAACUCUUCUUUUCCCCCCUGCAAAACUGCAAUCUUCCAAAAAUGCAACAACUCUUGAAAUUCUUCAGCCCAAUUCACAGAGAAAACUCAGCCUGCCCAAGACCACAACUUUUUGCCUUGCUUGCACUUUGCUCCUCUGGGCUUGAUUGCUAUGCUAAUUAAACAAGACAUUGGUCAGGUUUUAACAUAGAUAUUCUUUUUUUAUUUUGGUUUCAGCUUCUUGAAAGGUGUCCAAGAAUACCAGGCAAGGAAAUGAAAUCUGCAUCCCAAGGAAACAAUCCCUUUCCAAAAUUGUUAAUCUUUCCUUAUGACAUGUUUUGGAAUACGAAUGUAUCCAGAGGGGGUUUAUUCAGCAAUAUGCUGUGCUCAUGUAAGUGAUCAAAUUGGGGGUUUAUUGCAGUGGUACAUAUGUUAACAAUAACUCAAACUUUUACUCACCCUGCUUCACCACCACAGCUGCUCUUGGUUUUUCUUACAGCCCCACCCAGUGACACUUGGAACACAAGCAGAAACACGUAUGUAUUACAAGGAGCGAUGUUCUACAUUGUUAUUAGAGAACCGGGCUUCCUUCAGCAUGCAACAUUAUCAUAACAAACCCAUGACUACACACUUUAACUGUCACUACAUUGCCUUCCAUAUAUGCUGGGAUCAGCAGAAUUAGAAGCCAGGUCUGGUUGCUACAUAUCACUUCUGAUAAAUUUCUGCAUUACAGCAACUGAAGGCGACUACAGAGCUUUGGCUGUGCCAGAUUCAAUCCAUUCAUAGGUCUGUUCCCCCAGCACGUUUCGUGAAGCUAUUUAGGGGUCAUAUGGAAAUGAAUGCAUGAAGAAGUGAAGAAAAAAGACAUAAUAUUAAACUCUGUAAGUGACUUUUAAGUGAAGACUUUUGCAAAAAGAAAAGACGUAGCAGGUAAGAAAUACAGAGGGGUAUUCUAUGCAUCAUACGGUAUGCAAUGAGCAAUGCUGAAUUUACCAAAAGCUACCAGCAGUUUUGGUUAUUCAGGUGAAGACAACUUAUGCCAAAAAUCUCAGGCAUCUUAAUGUCUCUUGAGACAAAGAUAAAAAAGCAUUCAUAAUCAGAAGUCAGCUCUUAAAACAUACAAUUGGUUCUUAUUUUGAGAAAAGUAGUAACAAGACUUUUUUUAUUUCUUUUUAAUCAAAACAUUGCUCAGAAGCCACAAGUCUCAGAUCAAGAACCAAAUGCGGAAUGCUAAGCGCUCACUAAGAGCUGGCUUGGGCAGCAUGAGUACUACACUAAUUUCUCUUUCAUUCCCUCAGCCCAAAAGCAAAACACAUUUUGCAGCAGCAUCUCAGCUGUUUGCUGAUGACUGAAUCCCAGGCAGGUCAAGAGAAACUUCUUGAACUUCCAAUUUCCAAGAAAGCCAACGAUCCAAGUGAAGUAAGAAGAAAGAAGACAUGCCGUGAAAGACAAAAAGCCUUCUUCAAACACAGCCCUUAAAUAACAGGAUGUGCAUGAAAUCCAAACUUCCUAAUGAAAUAAUUCCAAACCCUUUUGCAAGAAAGAACAGUAUUUUGAUGAAUGGUAUUUGUGACCUUAACGAUAAGCAUUAAUCUGUGCCACUUCAAAACCUCAGAAAAAAGUAGCUGGUAAGUGAGCACCUUGCUAACGAAAACCAGAGGAUGCAUCAUCCUAAUAAUCCAUGAGGAUAACCUGAGGGUAUUUUUUAACAUGACAGAGGCUGUCUCCUUGAGAAGAAAAGGUUAAAGACAACAGAGAGGCGACAGUGACAUCCCAACUACACACCUUAGUGAUAGCACAGCAUGCGCUUCCAUCAAACUACAUGUGGGUUUCUAAAAUACUCUUUCACAAAUCAAGUAAUUUAAGUCCAAAUGAAGUUAAAAACAAACUAAAAAUUUGCAAAUGCUCUGCGUUCACAAAAACAUACCUUGGAGGUUUCACAAAACAGAAUAUUCCCCAAACGGCGCAAUUAUUCUAAUGAAUAUGCCUAUAGAAUAAGUGGCUGCUCAGUAGGAGCAACUAGUGAAGCAUAUUAUGGUGAAAAAGGUAUUUUGCAGGUAUGGCUGUAACUUCAUGAUACCAGCUAGAAAAGAUUCUGCAGGUCUACAGAAGGGCUGUAACGGUGCUCUGCCAAGUUGCUGUCCAGGCAAAUUACACACGCACCGUGUGCUGGUUGCUGGAGAUGGUCUGCUCCGCAGGAGACAGGAUGCAUUGGCAGGCAGAAGCUGAGCAAAUUCCCGUUUGCACAAACCCACAUACAAUGGGAGAGAGAUUAACUGACAGCAACAGGGCUUUUCACAAGCAGACUUCCACCUAUAAAUUAGUACUACUGCAAAAUGAUAAGUGACAGAUGACAGGUUUUUAAAUGAAAUCCAAUGGAAGAAUCUACCUGUCUUGCCCAGAUUCCUACACAUGAAAUACCCUCCUUAGCUGAAUGUGUACCUUGGUACAAUCUCUGACUGGUGUUUUGCAGGAAGUCAGGAUACUUGGGAUCAUCUGAUCUAUAGCUACAUGAGUUUCACUGCCACAUGUACUACAGCAAAAGGCAAAGCAGCGAUCAACAUACAGUGGGCAGACAACGUGGGUAGCGUCAGCUAUGGGUGCUGUGACAGAGUACAGCAAAGUAGGAACCACCCCUUGCAGUGAAGGAAUUCUGAAUAUCAGUCUGAAGUUACAAACAGAUUUUGCUGACUAAGAUAUGAAACAAGCCCAUUUUAAGUAGUUCCAGACCGAUCUGCGUAAAGCAUGCAGUCUGUCUAAUAACAUCUGAUGGGCUGCAAAAGCAGCCAAUGGCUGCAAAGGCCCAGAGUUCCACUGCUGGAUGGAAUCUUUGCAAAUGAGGAGAGCAGUGCUUAUGGUAGAGAAUUCACUAGGAGUCCAAGGGCAGCUUGUAUUGCUAGCAGCAAGGAAUAGUAAAACGGGAGUUCUGUUUGUUUGCUAGAAAGAUCUUGUAGCAAAAAAUACAUUGAAAAUUGAGAAAUAGCUUGCAGUGAUGAACUGGUAAAUGCAACCUUUUUACAGGGGAAUGCCAAAGCAGAUUUUAAACAUUUGGCAGUUUCUCAGAAGCUAGGGGAAGAUUAACUAUGUGAGGGAAAAAUCAGGCCAAGAAACUGAGAACAGCUUUUCAAAAUUAAGGAAAGCCAAGGAGGAACCAAGUCUAAAAAGCAUUUGGAAAGAAAUGUUAAGAUCAUUUCACUUAUAAGAGAUUGAUCUCAGAAUCAGAAGAGUUCUGAACUUGUGGAAGUGGGAAGGAGUCAAAGUUCAGAGGGGGAGCAGCAGAGCCCCAACCUCACAAAGACUACCAAGCAAGGACACACAGCAACCACAGCAAGCAGCAGUGCUCCCAGGGGUGCCAUGGCUAAUGUUGUCUGCAGAGAUGGCUCAUAGGAACGUCACCAAAAUGAACACCCGGCUGACAUCCCCAGCCUCCUCAAGUUUGGUAAAGCUGUGCUCCAGUUUCCAGUGCUUGAAACAGCCUCUGAACACCAGCUCUGCAGGCCUGGACGCAGCACACUGCAUCUCUGCUGCUGCAUUCGUGUUUAUGAAAGCUACAGAAUAUUCCUUUUUAUGCACUCAAAUAACUUUUAAUAUCAAUAGCACCCUGCUGCUAAGAAAUACAACUUAACGGCUGGGUAUUAUUUGUUUUGGAGUAGAAUAUUAUGUUGGGCAGUUUCCCACUGGAAUAUACCUCAGUGUUUUCAAUGUGGCUGUGCAUACCUUGCUUUUUGUAGGCUGUUACAACUGUAAAUGUAUUUUAAAAGCACAUGUACACAUACGUGAAGGAGGAAAUGAGACCAAUAGCUUUUCAAGGUACUAGCAAUAGGAUUAGUUAGAACCAUGCGCUGACUUCAAAAAAUCUCACAUAAGAAAAUCCCACAUAAAACCAGUCUGUAUCUCAAAACUUCACUGCUACCCCAAGGGGGAAGAAAAGGCACUGCAGGACGAAGUGAGAGGCAGCAGCUGUCCUCAAAGGCAAAGGACCUCAGGGGACCCAAACUAUAACGCAAACAUCACCUCUUGCAACAGAGCAGAAGGGAAAAAACUCUCCUUACACUUCAUUUGUAUCACUGUGUAUGCAUUUUUGAUUGAUUCUUAUCAAGACUAUUAUAUUCUACUUCUAGAAUAUGGCAAGUAACAGUGCAGGUAUCUGACUCAAACUACAGAACCUGACAAACAGCACAGCUGCGCCGAAAAUUACUAAGGUGAAAAGGUGGGUGAGAAAAGAGAAAAACUUAAAUAUGGUUUUAGGAGAGAAAAGCUGUUGCUGAAGUCUUUCCUACUUGAGAUGACUCCAAUAAAGCUAUUCCUUCCUUAUCAGUGAAACACAGUCAUCUACCUUGCAGAUCCUUCUCUCAUUCUUACACGCCAAGCACAAAGAUGGAAAAAUUGCAACAAAAUUCUAACUAAGGCAGCAAAAACUCUGUAUGGAAAGAACACAGAACAGAGGAUAAAUAAAGGUUGCUGGUAAAACCUGGAACUUGCUGUGUUCAGCUAAUCCUUCUAAGGAGUUUUUUCUGUGGAGUUAGAGCAGUGAUUGCACCAAUUACAGGCACACUUCUUCAUGAAAUAAAAAAGAGGGAGAAGGGAAGCGAAGCCAAAGCCUCUGAUUUUCUUCUGGCUGAUCUCAAACUGUAGGAAUUCCCCAAUCAAAAGAAUGCUCUGCUCUACCUAAGGAAAUUAUGUUGAUUAGAAUAAAAGCUCCAGAUGUUAACCCAAAACAGUUUGAAGGGGAGGGGAGAAGGCACGCGAGGUGACCCCACCCAGGGCAGGAAGCACAGUGAGAGCCUCAUACCCAACGCCUUGGGACACAGCCAGGGCUCAGCAGCUCUCACGGCUGUCCUCCUUCUCCCCCAGGCAGAUAUAGGAGCUUUUCCAGUUUAACCCCAACACUUCUUUGCAUCCUUUGACAUGCAUUCUUCAGAAAACAUAUAUAAAUCAGAAUAAAAGUUACAUUGAGAACAGUUUUGUUUGGUUUUGAUUUUUAAAUCCAGAAGCAGCAGAACAACUUAUUUCUCCUUGCUAUUUCCAUGCACUUCGUUCCUCACGUCCCCUUUAGGCUGGGUCUCGGUCAUGGACACCGAGCUAUCUCAGAGAGCACAAAGAGGGUUAAAAGGAAAAGCUCUUGCAGAGCAGACACUGCACUUACAGUGAAGACAAAUGUUUUCAUUUUUUGGUAUAGUUGAAGUAGUUUAACUAUUUGUGAGCUUUGAAAAACAGCCAAAGUAAACCAGAUGCUUGUUGCUCAGGGGUCAGUUACCAGCAGCCAAUUAGGGAAAGCUCUUCUAUUAGUCAAAUUUGUACUUUCCUACCAAUCAGAAUAAUGCUUCUUACAUUAAAUGUUUAGGAAAAUAAAAAGGAAAAAGAGUUAAAGCACUGUCACUCCUUCCUGUCUCAAGGAGGAUUAGUCGUCAUCUGAGUAAGGCUGCAAGAUCAGUGCCUAGAAAGUGAUUUUUCUCAAUCAAGCUUUUUUUUUCCCCCCCUGAAGAAUGACUCAGCUAGAAAUAUGGGAACACCACUGCCUGGCUCCAUAAUCCUGCAAACUUGAGCACGGCUAAACUAUGAUAAUACCUGAUAUGAAUAACAGAACAUGGCCAGUCCUGACAACAUCCAGAGUGAGAAACACAUGCCCUAAACCCAGCCUUCCUCCUGGAGAACACAUCCUACAUCACAGUAUGCUGCUUACAUUACACAAAAUGCAGUUGCUGCUGAGCAACAGCGUAGGUCUGGAUUUAUCAAAGAAUUUUCUCCCUCCCUUUCUGACUGCGUAUGUGCAGUUUCAUAGACAAAGUGCUGGUCAUGGUCUCACAUCACUGACUGCACCACAGAGAUCAGGCUCCUGCACAUCACCAGUUAAUCACAUUCUUGAGGGCUUCUUUGGAAAACAAAGCAGCUCCAGUCUGCGUCCAUUGCUUCUCAAAAGCAUAAGCUAUGCCUUCUUCCUAUCUGAAAAAUUCUGACAGAUGAGCCCUAUAUUCACAUAAGUGAUGCACAUAGCAUUAGCAUACCCUAUGGAGAAGGCAUUUCUGCCCUACUCACAGAAUAUGUGAAAAUUAACAUAUGGCUGCAGACUGAAACAAGAGAAUUCAUAGGCCCGUCUCCUCCCAAGCCCAGCUCCUCCAUGCCUUACAGAAAUCUGCUGCAUUGGAGUCUUUUCACACAGUCUGCU